This 411-nucleotide ribosomal RNA is filed under the name uncultured prokaryote. RNAcentral describes it as "bacterial SSU rRNA". It matches the Rfam family "Bacterial small subunit ribosomal RNA", at positions 505 to 918 of the family's 1533-position model. The record is from RNAcentral.
GUGUCAGCCGCCGCGGUAAUACGGGGGGAGCAAGCGUUGUCCGGAAUCACUGGGUGUAAAGGGCGUGUAGGCGGGUUGGUAAGUCAGGGGUGAAAGUUUGCCGCUCAACGGUAAAAUUGCCUUUGAUACUGUCAGGCUUGAAUAGGCGCGAGGCAGGCGGAAUGUGACAUGUAGCGGUGAAAUGCAUAGAUAUGUCAUAGAACACCAAUUGCGAAGGCAGCUUGCCAGAGCCUUAUUGACGCUGAGGCACGAAAGCGUGGGGAGCGAAUAGGAUUAGAUACCCUGGUAGUCCACGCCCUAAACGAUGCUUACUCGACGUGCGGUUUUCGGAUUGUGCGUCCAAGCGAAAGCGCUAAGUAAGCCACCUGGGGAGUACGCCGGCAACGGUGAAACUCAAAGGAAUUGACGGGG